This is a long non-coding RNA of Arvicola amphibius (Eurasian water vole), 427 nucleotides long. RefSeq lists it as uncharacterized. The transcript has 3 exons. The record is from RefSeq and is a predicted model, not a curated record. NCBI's taxonomy places the organism in Eukaryota, Metazoa, Chordata, Mammalia, Rodentia, Cricetidae.
UAAAAAAAGAAAAAUUACAACCCUGCCUUAAGAAUAGCGAAUAGGGCUGGAGAGAUGGCUCUGUGGUUGAGAACGCGCUUCUCACAGAGGGCCUGUGUUUCCCGUCAUCCACAUCGGGUGGAUCACAACUUCAGCUGCAGGGGCUCCAGUGCCCCUGGCCUCCUCAGAGAUCGGUGCCUAUGCAAAUCAAAAGCUUGAUCCAACAGGCGGUCUCCACACUCACACUAUGAAUUCCCAUUUUUCCUGGAUGCCCCUCAUUACUUGAAUUCAGCAUUCUUCAAUACUCAACUUCAAUACUUCACUUUGGAAAAACCAAAAAGCUGGGAUAGCAAAAAAAAAAUCCUGUACAAUAAAGGAACUUCUGGAGGCAUCACUAUCCCUGACAUCAAGUUCUAUUACAGAGCUACAGUAAUGAAAAUAGUUUGGU